Physeter macrocephalus (sperm whale) is the source of this 481-nucleotide long non-coding RNA. RefSeq lists it as uncharacterized. The transcript is spliced from 3 exons. Lineage: Eukaryota; Metazoa; Chordata; Mammalia; Artiodactyla; Physeteridae. The record is from RefSeq and is a predicted model, not a curated record.
GAAGAAAUGCUUUUACCCUAAGAAUGAAGCACCGGACACAGGUGCUUGUGGGCGCUAUCAACAUUUAGUGAGUGACUCAGCUUAGAUGUCACCUUGUGGUCAAAGCAGACUCAGGUGGUGCCCCUCUUUGCGCCUCCCUCCCAGCCCUGUGUCUCCCCCUUUUGAACAUCCAUCCCCCUGGGUUGUGACCCACUAUUCUGCGUCUCCUCCAGAUCAGAUUGUGAACUUGAGGGGCAGGGUCCGAGCCUGACUCAGUGCCUGGCCCAUAGCAACCGCUUCAGGAAGCCCCGAGGGUCACCACUCCAGGGACCUCCGGGAACUGAGGGAGAAGAAAAGCAGCCACGGGACUUUCUCCCUUAAGGAUGGCGCUGGGCCGAGCAAGAUUUCUAGGACUUUGUCCCCAACUCAGAGACAUCCAAGAGCCACCUUCAGCCACUGUCCUCCCUGACCAUGGCAAGCCCACCUCCUGUCUUCAGCUCCA